UUUGUCUUUAUGUUGAAUAUGAUGAUAUUCAGCCGAUCUCUGAUCAGAGCGUUCCAUAUGCCACCACAGGAAAUCAAUGGGUUGGAUUUGAUGACAAAGACAGCCUUGAUACAAAGGUCAGUUACCUAAAGGCUAACAACUUUGGAGGAGCUGUCGUCUAGUCUCUGGACCUGGAUGACACUAGUGGACAGUUCUGUAAACAGGGCAACAACCCUUUCAUCAGCCACCUGCACACUCUCCUGUGUCCAGGUUUUCCUGACCUUACAGCUACAACAGCAGCUCCAACAACAGCCGCUCCUACAACAGCCGUUCCUACAACAGCAGCUCCCACAACAGCCGCUCCUACAACAGCAGCUCCCACAACAGCAGCUCCCACAACAGCCG
Molecule: long non-coding RNA, 384 nt
Organism: Epinephelus moara (kelp grouper)
Lineage: Eukaryota; Metazoa; Chordata; Actinopteri; Perciformes; Serranidae
Exons: 3
Source: RefSeq, a predicted model, not a curated record